Molecule: unclassified non-coding RNA, 216 nt
Filed under: Hevea brasiliensis (rubber tree)
Lineage: Eukaryota; Viridiplantae; Streptophyta; Magnoliopsida; Malpighiales; Euphorbiaceae
Source: RNAcentral
GAAGUGGUUCAUGAGCCCUACUAUGAUAUUGUGGAAGGGGUUUGGCUUUUGAUUUUUUUUCAUCCAAAAACAUUGCUCUAAUUGGAAAGUGGUUGUGGUAGGUUCCUUCGAAGCUGGAUUCCUUUAACUGCGCAGGGUAGGAGUAAAUUUGGCUUGUAUUAAAAUGGUUAGCAUGAUAAGAUAGGAACUAAUGCUGCUCAUGGAAGCACAUAAUGG